GAACAUUCCAGGCUCUGUGAACUAAGUGACUGAAGCUGAUUGACACAGGUCAAGGGGACUUCAAGGAAGAAAGCCAGCCUUAGACUGACAUCAGAGAACCAAACUCCGGUGUCUAAGCUCAAGCUUCACCUUGUCACGACAGUCCUCGCCAGGGACAGCUGAGCAUCUACAUCUCCAUUUAUGCCGUGUGCACGCAGUACCAACAGAGGUCAGAGGAGGGUGUCGGAUCCCCUGGAACUGGAGUCACAGAUUCUUCCUUGCGUGGAUGAAACAGUCCCAACGAACACUUUAAAAAGACAAAUGUUCCCGACAGCACUGGUUGAAUUCAAAACUCGGCAGAUCCAUGUUCUUAUCCUUAGACAAGAGAGGGGCCAUAACAAGAUGGAAUGACGGAACAGACGUGAGAGAUGAUGGUACAGUGACUCGGGUAACCCCAGAAAAGGGACAGCUCUUCUACAGCUCAGUGGGGACAGGGACAAAAAGAAACAAUUUCAUUUCAGUCCACCCAGAGGGUCUGCACUUCUCGGAGCCAGAAGGUGGAGAAGAGUAGGGAUGGAGGAAGUUCGAAGUUUUAGGAGUCUGCUCUUGGGUCCCUAGGCAUGAGGACAAGCUUUUCCUGUACUCAAUGCUCAUCUCUCAGUUGUGCCCACAUUGGUACACAUUACUUGCUUUCAACUGCUGCUGCUGCUGUUUCCUAAUUCAAUAAAGAUAUGGCUGGCUCAGCAGAGAGCUGUCAUCCA
RNAcentral lists this long non-coding RNA (740 nucleotides) under Mus musculus (house mouse). RNAcentral's name for it is "predicted gene 29154". Lineage: Eukaryota; Metazoa; Chordata; Mammalia; Rodentia; Muridae. The record is from RNAcentral.